This 253-nucleotide ribosomal RNA is filed under the name uncultured bacterium. Its description in RNAcentral is "partial 16S ribosomal RNA". It matches the Rfam family "Bacterial small subunit ribosomal RNA", at positions 524 to 776 of the family's 1533-position model. The record is from RNAcentral.
UACGUAGGUGGCAAGCGUUGUCCGGAAUUACUGGGCGUAAAGAGCGCGCAGGCGGCUGGUCAAGUCCGAUGUGAAAGCUCCCGGCUUAACUGGGAAAUUGCAUCGGAAACUGAUCGGCUUGAAGGUGGGAGAGGGUAGUGGAAUUCCCGGUGUAGUGGUGAAAUGCGUAGAUAUCGGGAGGAACACCAGUGGCGAAGGCGACUACCUGGCCCACUCUUGACGCUGAGGCGCGAAAGCGUGGGGAGCGAACAGG